UGGGGAAUAUUGGACAAUGGGCGAAAGCCUGAUCCAGCAAUGCCGCGUGUGUGAAGAAGGUCUUCGGAUUGUAAAGCACUUUCGACGGGGACGAUGAUGACGGUACCCGUAGAAGAAGCCCCGGCUAACUUCGUGCCAGCAGCCGCGGUAAUACGAAGGGGGCUAGCGUUGCUCGGAUUGACUGGGCGUAAAGGGCGCGUAGGCGGUUUGUACAGUCAGACGUGAAAUUCCUGGGCUCAACCUGGGGGCUGCGUUUGAUACGUGCGAGCUUGAGUUCGGAAGAGGGUCGUGGAAUUCCCAGUGUAGAGGUGAAAUUCGUAGAUAUUGGGAAGAACACCGGUGGCGAAGGCGGCGACCUGGUCCAAUACUGACGCUGAGGCGCGAAAGCGUGGGGAGCAAACAGGAUUAGAUACCCUGGUAGUCCACGCCGUAAACGAUGUGCGCUGGAUGUUGGGUGACAUAGUCAUUCAGUGUCGUAGCUAACGCGAUAAGCGCACCGCCUGGGGAGUACGGCCGCAAGGUUG
This 524-nucleotide ribosomal RNA is filed under the name uncultured bacterium. RNAcentral's name for it is "bacterial SSU rRNA". It matches the Rfam family "Bacterial small subunit ribosomal RNA", at positions 355 to 896 of the family's 1533-position model. The record is from RNAcentral.